This 394-nucleotide unclassified non-coding RNA is filed under the name soil metagenome. RNAcentral's name for it is "partial contains 5.8S ribosomal RNA, internal transcribed spacer 2, and large subunit ribosomal RNA". The stretch from base 1 to 122 matches the Rfam family "5.8S ribosomal RNA", at positions 35 to 154 of the family's 154-position model. The record is from RNAcentral.
GAUGAAGAACGUAGCGAAAUGCGAUACUUGGUGUGAAUUGCAGAAUCCCGUGAACCAUCGAGUCUUUGAACGCAAGUUGCGCCCGAAGCCAUCAGGUUGAGGGCACGUCUGCCUGGGCGUCACAUAUCGUUGCCCAAUCCCUAUUGCAGUGCAAUAGGAAUUUCUAGGGCGAAUGAUGGCUUCCCGUGAGCGUUGUUGCCUCGCGGUUGGUUGAAAAUCGAGUCCUUGGUAGGGUGUGCCAUGGUAGAUGGUGGUCGAGUUAGAACGAUACCGAUCAUGUGCAUGCUCCCCAAAAUAUGGCCUCUAUGACCCACACGCGUCUUUUGACGCUCAUGACGAGACCUCAGGUCAGGCGGGGCUACCCGCUGAAUUUAAGCAUAUCAUAAGCGGAGGA